UACUCCUACGGGAGGCAGCAGUGGGGAAUAUUGGACAAUGGGGGGAACCCUGAUCCAGCCAUGCCGCGUGUGUGAAGAAGGCCUUAUGGUUGUAAAGCACUUUAAGCGAGGAGGAGGCUACUGAGACUAAUACUCUUGGAUAGUGGACGUUACUCGCAGAAUAAGCACCGGCUAACUCUGUGCCAGCAGCCGCGGUAAUACAGAGGGUGCGAGUGUUAAUCGGAUUUACUGGGCGUAAAGCGUGCGUAGGCGGCUUUUUAAGUCGGAUGUGAAAUCCCCGAGCUUAACUUGGGAAUUGCAUUCGAUACUGGGAAGCUAGAGUAUGGGAGAGGAUGGUAGAAUUCCAGGUGUAGCGGUGAAAUGCGUAGAGAUCUGGAGGAAUACCGAUGGCGAAGGCAGCCAUCUGGCCUAAUACUGACGCUGAGGUACGAAAGCAUGGGGAGCAAACAGGAUUAGAUACCCUGGUAGUCCAUGCCGUAAACGAUGUCUACUAGCCGUUGGGGCCUUUGAGGCUUUAGUGGCGCAGCUAACGCGAUAAGUAGACCGCCUGGGGAGUACGGUCGCAAGACUAAAACUCAAAUGAAUUGACGGGGGCCCCCACAAGCGGUGGAGCAUGUGGA
Molecule: ribosomal RNA, 620 nt
Filed under: uncultured bacterium
Lineage: Bacteria
Description: bacterial SSU rRNA
Rfam family: Bacterial small subunit ribosomal RNA
Source: RNAcentral